RNAcentral lists this ribosomal RNA (292 nucleotides) under uncultured bacterium. Its description in RNAcentral is "partial 16S ribosomal RNA". It matches the Rfam family "Bacterial small subunit ribosomal RNA", at positions 505 to 796 of the family's 1533-position model. The record is from RNAcentral.
GUGUCAGCAGCCGCGGUAAGACGAACCGUGCAAACGUUGUUCGGAAUCACUGGGCUUAAAGGGCGCGUAGGCGGGUUCCCAAGUCGGUGGUGAAAUCUUUCAGCUCAACUGGAAAAGUGCCGCCGAUACUGGGAGUCUUGAGGGAGGUAGGGGUCGAUGGAACUGGUGGUGGAGCGGUGAAAUGCGUAGAUAUCACUAGGAACGCCGGUGGCGAAAGCGAUCGACUGGACCUCUUCUGACGCUGAGGCGCGAAAGCCAGGGGAGCAAACGGGAUUAGAAACCCCCGUAGUCC